CGUAGUCGAGCUAGGAAAGUGAAUCAACAAAUGCAUGCAAGCUAAGGAGGGAUGUAAUAUAAUUCAGGAGCUGUGUAGUUCAUCUAAACAUUCAAUAAUCUAUAACAAGAACAAUAGAUGCAGACAUUCUGGAAUCAGAAACUGGAACGACAAACAAACAACAAGAAAUGAAUAGAAAACUUUAUUUAUUUCAUUGUUGUUCUUACUAAUUAGAACAAAAGGAUCCAUGCAUAUUUCAUAUAGUUCCUUCCACUAAGAACAAGAAAAUGGAUCUAUGUGUUUGAUUGAACAAAGUUCAUGUGCCUUGGUAAUUCUUUUUGAAGAGCAGCUUGACAACAAUCAGGAUUCCACCUACAGCAAACUGGGGUAUAUCCAUCCACCAUAGCAACAACAAUCAUAAGCACAAGAGUCAUAAUCACCAUCACCAUCAUAGCGAAACUCAUUUUUCCUUUCAUUACAAACAUUUUUUUUUUUAAUUGAUUUUUGGAAGAAAGAGUAGGUAUUUAUCA
This 509-nucleotide long non-coding RNA is filed under the name Capsicum annuum. RNAcentral describes it as "long non-coding RNA (CANN_LNC009257)". Lineage: Eukaryota; Viridiplantae; Streptophyta; Magnoliopsida; Solanales; Solanaceae. The record is from RNAcentral.